CACGCUAAUGAUUUACGAUAUCUCGAAAAUAUCACAUACAUAAUUAUCAAAUACAAACCGCAUUAUGAGUGAUCAGGAUAUGAAUUGUAACCGCAAAUUAGUGCGAAUAAAAAUGCGUAAAAAAAGGAAGGGGGAAUCACGGUAAAAGUAAUAUAUUGCGGGCAUUUCUCAUUGUCCUCUACAUCAGUCUUCAAUUGUUGCCUUCACGAUAACUUGGUGUAAAACGAUAAAAUUUAACGAGCAAUAAUCUAUCAAAAUCGUUCGUAAUUUAUGUGUGACGCGAUGGCGCCGUUACGUUUCAUUUUAUUCGUCUUGUUUUUCUGCAUUUUCGUCACCAUGCACGAAUCCAGACCUCUGACAUUUCCACAAAGAAAGAAUACAAGCGUGAAGAAAUGUCCACCAGGAUACAAAUACAUUCGCAACGUGGGCUGCAGAAAACUCAUAUUCAAUUAAACGUAAAACGUAAAAAGAAAUCCGGAUAAUGAGAAACUUUUGCAAAAUUCUGAAAUAAUUAAAUCACGAGAAACUAAUCAAAAGAACAUUCUAUUCUUUAUAUUGUAUAUUCAAAUAUUGUAAGAUGUGAAUCUAAUUUGCAUUUAUAAUUUAACAAACAAUGAAAUAAAUCACAAUUUAUCGAUAAAAA
Apis dorsata (giant honeybee) is the source of this 643-nucleotide long non-coding RNA. RefSeq lists it as uncharacterized. The record is from RefSeq and is a predicted model, not a curated record. NCBI's taxonomy places the organism in Eukaryota, Metazoa, Arthropoda, Insecta, Hymenoptera, Apidae. The transcript is spliced from 2 exons.